Molecule: ribosomal RNA, 253 nt
Filed under: uncultured bacterium
Lineage: Bacteria
Description: partial 16S ribosomal RNA
Rfam family: Bacterial small subunit ribosomal RNA
Source: RNAcentral
UACGAAGGGGGCUAGCGUUGUUCGGAAUUACUGGGCGUAAAGCGCACGUAGGCGGGUUAUUAAGUCAGGGGUGAAAUCCCGGAGCUCAACUCCGGAACUGCCUAUGAUACUGGUAAUCUAGAGAUCGGAAGAGGUUAGUGGAAUUCCCAGUGUAGAGGUGAAAUUCGUAGAUAUCGGGAAGAACACCCGUGGCGAAGGCGGUUCUCUGGGACGGUACUGACGCUGAGACGCGAAAGCGUGGGGAGCGAACAGG